This is a long non-coding RNA of Puntigrus tetrazona (Sumatra barb), 1943 nucleotides long. RefSeq lists it as uncharacterized. The transcript is spliced from 2 exons. The record is from RefSeq and is a predicted model, not a curated record. NCBI's taxonomy places the organism in Eukaryota, Metazoa, Chordata, Actinopteri, Cypriniformes, Cyprinidae.
CUUUAAUUUUUACACGUUGGCGCUUUUAAAGGUCAUCGUUUAUUUAUACGCUGUCUUCUAAUCAUGAGUGGCCUAUGACUUCAGGUCAUCUGGAGCCUGUGAUAAUCUGACUCACUUCCUCUGUCAUGUGAGGAGAGAGAAAACUCUGUGGCGCAAGAUGGGGCCACUGACAUGAUGUGCAAGCACACUGAAAAAUCAUGACGGCUGAUGUCAUAACGUACUAUAAAAACAACUCAAGAAAAGUCAUUACAGGACAUUCCAAGAUGGGUUCAAAUUCUUUUCUUACGCUUACGGUCAAGUAACGGUAAAGAAACUGGUAAAGUAAAUGGUCGGCCUAGUUUCAGUGGAAAUGGAUUCACUGGUUAUUGUUGAAAAAUAAACUGGAGAAAGCACAAUGCGCAUUGGCGAGGAAAUGCGUUAAAGCUCGAAAACCAGAAUGGCACGAGGCCUGAUAUGCGGCAUUGUUUUGUUACCCUUGGAAACUGGGUCGAAAAAAGGCUUUCGUAUGUACGAGGAAAGUGAAAAAAGUUCAUCUAAUAACAGCCAUAUGACGGUUAGCGAGGACGAGAUCUCGCACUCUUGAUUGGCAAACCGAACAGGGUUAGGAUUUCCCCGUCUCAACCCACGGACUUUACAGAGCGGAAAUGGUGCAUUGAAUACUUAACCAACGUUUCCUCCUGCUCUGGCGGUUGGGGUUUUCUCAACGCCGACGUCGCUUGCACGUUAGCCUAGUCUGCAAUAACAGGCUAUCGAUGGAAAAACAAUGUUAUUCGAUCAACCUUUAUCCGUUAAACGCGAUUGCGACACCGUCGGUGGUGUGACGUGGCUCUAUUAUCACGGGCUGCGAGUUGCGCAAUUACGGCUCUCUGUGCACUUUGAGCAAAAUGGAUAGCGGUGGGACUUUCCCAUGACUGUGUGUGUAGUGUGGAACAAACGCCCAUGCAAAUGAGAGCGCUAAUCGAUCGGUUUAUAUAGGGAUGCGCUGAGCGAGUAGGCGGCAGAAGAGCUUUCUGCAUGCGUCUUAUCAUUCGCUGCAGGUGCGUGAGAGACAUGAUUCAGCAUCCUCAAUCUGGUACUGGUACCGAAAUGACUCACCGACAACAGAUGAUGUGGACCUGUCGAGAAAAGAGGGGAAAACUAAAGAGGGAAGCUGAACCGGACUAGACUACAUAUCAGUGGGAUGCAUCUGAGCAAGCUGUACUUUCAAGAAAAACUUUUGCUGGAAUCGCGAUGAAAAAAAGAGGAAACCCUAAACAAACACCAGAGACGAAGCGGUUUUGUUACACAUUUUACCUAAAAAUCUAUCCUAUUUAAGAAGCGAUCUGCUUUUAGGGUGAUUUUAUUGACACUGUAACAUUAAGUUACGUUUAGUUUCUUGCUUAGGCCGAAUAAAAUGGCCAGCUCGAAGCAUUCACAGUCUGCUUGAAUGGAGCUCUUGGCUUUGAGAACUGAAUUCCAAGGGUGUCUGUUGUAUAUUCAGCCCACGGAGUUCAGUUCUUAAGUUUGGAUGCUCACGGCAUCUGCUCUGAACUACGACCUCAACCAAAACGCCUGCUGCUGGACUGGAAGGUACUGAUACGGUUUACUACGUUAUCUUCUUUUAGUUUAGAGAUGACUGCUGUUUUUAGCCACACUAGUUACUAGUGUAUUAUUAACCAACUCCCUUUGUGUUAAGCAUGUAUAAAUGAUGCUUAAGUAGAUUCUGUCAGGUUGUGGAUAAUUACUGCAUAGAUUUUGCCUUCAUUUGUAAGAACCUGUUUGGUGAAAAUACACCAUUGUGUAUUUUUUUACUUUGUUGAUGUCAGAAAAAUAGCAUUAAAUUGUGUUUUUCUUGAUUCUUCGUACAAACCAUUUUGCAGCACAAAUGAGUUCUAUUAAAUAUUAGUCUUCUACUGUAAUAAAAUGUUGUGAAAAUAAAAAAAGUAUACGAGUAUGAUACACGA